This 460-nucleotide ribosomal RNA is filed under the name uncultured bacterium. Its description in RNAcentral is "partial 16S ribosomal RNA". It matches the Rfam family "Bacterial small subunit ribosomal RNA", at positions 338 to 795 of the family's 1533-position model. The record is from RNAcentral.
CCUACGGGAGGCAGCAGUGAGGAAUAUUGGUCAAUGGACGCAAGUCUGAACCAGCCAUGUCGCGUGCAGGAAGACGGCCCUAUGAGUUGUAAACUUCUUUUGUAAGGGGGUAAACUCAGACACGUGUGCCUGUUUGAAAGUAUCUUAAGAAUAAGGAUCGGCUAACUCCGUGCCAGCAGCCGCGGUAAUACGGAGGAUUCAAGCGUUAUCCGGAUUUAUUGGGUUUAAAGGGUGCGUAGGCGGGGGGAUAAGUUAGGGGUGAAAUCCGGAGGCUCAACUUCGGAAUUGCCGUUGAUACUGUUGGUCUAGAGAGUAGUUGAGGUAGGCGGAAUGUGUGGUGUAGCGGUGAAAUGCUUAGAGAUCAUGCAGAACACCGAUUGCGAAGGCAGCUUACCAAGCUACUUCUGACGUUGAGGCACGAAAGCGUGGGUAGCAAACAGGAUUAGAUACCCCUGUAGUC